This 630-nucleotide ribosomal RNA is filed under the name uncultured soil bacterium. RNAcentral describes it as "bacterial SSU rRNA". It matches the Rfam family "Bacterial small subunit ribosomal RNA", at positions 85 to 713 of the family's 1533-position model. The record is from RNAcentral.
CUGAUGGCGACCGGCAAACGGGUGCGGAACACGUACAGAACCUUCCUCGGAGCGGGGGAUAGCCCAGAGAAAUUUGGAUUAAUACCCCAUAGUAUAACGAAGUGGCAUCGCUUUGUUAUUAAAGAUUUAUCACUUUGAGAUGGCUGUGCGUCUGAUUAGGUAGUUGGUGAGGUAACGGCUCACCAAGCCGACGAUCAGUAACUGGUGUGAGAGCACGACCAGUCACACGGGCACUGAGACACGGGCCCGACUCCUACGGGAGGCAGCAGUAAGGAAUAUUGGUCAAUGGACGCAAGUCUGAACCAGCCAUGCCGCGUGGAGGAUGAAGGUCCUCUGGAUUGUAAACUUCUUUUAUCUGGGACGAAAAAAGGGAAUUCUUUCUCGUCUGACGGUACCAGAUGAAUAAGCACCGGCUAACUCCGUGCCAGCAGCCGCGGUAAUACGGAGGGUGCAAGCGUUAUCCGGAUUCACUGGGUUUAAAGGGUGCGUAGGCGGGUGUGUAAGUCCGUGGUGAAAUCUCCGAGCUUAACUCGGAAACUGCCAUGGGUACUGCAUGUCUUGAAUGUUGUGGAGGUGAGCGGAAUAUGUCAUGUAGCGGUGAAAUGCUUAGAUAUGACAUAGAACACCAAU